CAAGUUGGUCAAGAGUUUUAUUGUACAUUCAGCUCAAGAUGGACUUCACAUUUUUGUUCAUUAUUGAAUGAUCCCCGAAUGUGAGCAUCUUCAUGAGAAAUCCAUUUAAAAGGUAUUCUAUUUAUGUAAGCUCAUGAUGUUUUGGAGCACAUGCAGUGUGUCUGUCUACACUAUUACUGCCUUCUGAAGCAGUAAGUUAUCAAAUUCUCUCUCUCUUUUUUAAAAUAAAGUUAUGAAACACAUGACCAUUGUUCAUUAUAUCAAAUAUAGAAGUUAGAGCAGUAUAUGAGAAAUAUAAGUCUAUUUUGAAAUGGACUCUUAAUCUGCACAUAACAUGCAGGAGAAGCACAAGCCUAAACUUGUGUUUCAAAUCUCCCCUAAAUUCUUCCAGUAUACAGUAACCUCCAGUGAUACUGUGACUAUGGCACUGUACCAAAUCAGUUAGCAGAAAAACCCCUUACAAAACAAUAUUAAGGGGCCUUUAAAAAAAAUUCAGAUCACGCUACUGCUAUUUAAGGAGCAACCAUAUUUUGUUUUUAAAAAUUAAUUAGUUAAGAAAAAUCCAAGUUGACAGUGUCCCUUUAAUGUCUUGAGUGCAUUACAAUCUGCAUGUUAGCCUUAGAAGCAUUAAAUAUUAUAUUUUAUAUACGUUCUUAUACCACACUCAUCAUCAUAGUACCCAAGCGCUCCCCAGUAGUGCAUUACGCAACACGACUAUACAUCUGUAAUGUGUUUGUUCUCUCACCCACACCCCAGAGGAGAAGCAUGUGCAAUGGAGUGUCUUGUUUUGGCAGGUUUUGCAUGCACUCAGAUAGAGAGACAGAGAAACAGAGAGAAGGCAAGGUCCAUAAAUAAUGAACUUGCUUAUGAUGUUGCAUCUCAGUGGGGAGAAGUCAAGACAGUUUUCAGGUUUAGCAUGAAAUCGACCACCAGGCCCAUCACUUAAGCCAAAAAUGUCAAUAUUAAGACACAGCAAGUAAUUAAUCUUUUAGUUCAUCUGGCCCUACUGUGCCACCUUUAUUCUCCUGGAGUAGUGCCUUACUGUACUAUGGAGUUACUCACAGAACAAAGUACUAUUCAAUGUGAAUAAGGUGGAGAAUUUGGCCCUUUGCGGUUAAGGAUCUCUGACUCGAUUUAAUGUCUGACAAUAUUUCUUUUUAGUGGAGACAGUACCGAUAUUUCAACAAAAGUCACCUUCUCAGUGUUACAAAGUCAAUUUGUAAACUCAAGUCCGGGAGGUAGGGACCAUAUGGAUGGCUUAUAUAUGGAAAGAGAAAACAUAUGAGGAAAGUGCUAGCAGUUCAGCAAUUAAAUGUACUGUGGGGUUCUCAGGCAGUCACAUAAGCUAUUUCCAGUCUUGGUUUACUGUCAUAAGCCCCAAUUCAGUAAAGUAGGAGAGAAUACUCACGUUGUGAAUUAACUGAAGUUCUUCGAGAACUAUACCCCUGUGGGUGCUUCACUUCAGGUGACCAGGUACGCAUGCACUUUUGAGCGGAGAUUUUUGGUAGCAUUGCCUGUAUGGCCCAUGCAUGUGCCCUGCACAUCCUCAUGCCCCAUACCAAGGCUCUAUAGGGUUGCAUGUGUGAACUGCCCUCAGUUCCUUCUGCACCACAAAGCCUAUAAGGGAAAACUUUGAAGCAGAGGGGAAGCACUUACAGGGGGACACAUCUCAACAGUUGUUCUUUACUGCACAAGGUGAGUAACUUCUCCUUCCUCUUUGAGUAGUGUCCCUAUGGGUGUCCCACUUCAGGUGACUGCCCAGCAGUAUCCCCAGCAGGAAGAGGAAGCUUCAGAACAGAGACUUGUCUUUAAGACAGAACUACGUUCCAACUACAGCGUUGGAUCUAGAGGCAUGAACCAGAAUAUAAUGGUUGGAGAAAGUAUGUACAGAGGUACAAGUGACAGUUCUGCAGACUUCAGUAAAUGCCGCAUUACUUAAAUAUGUUCCAAAUGUAGAUUGUGACCUUGAAAAAUAAGCUAACACUCCAGAAGGAGGCAGAGUCAUAAUAUGAAAUAAUACACCCCAAGUCCAUCUCGAGAGUCUCCGGGUGGAGACUGCAGAUCCCUUGGACCUGUCCAUAACUGAAAUAAGUAGUCUAGGAGACUUUUGGAAAGAUUUGGUUCUGCCCAGAUAGAAGGCUAAUGCUCUUCUGACCCCUAAAUUAUGGAAGGCAGAUUCCUGCCUAGAGUGAUAUGGUUUCAGAAAAAAAAACUGGAAGGUGAAUAGUCUGGUUUAUGAGAAAUUCAGAGGACACCUGAAAUGUGGGAUGUAGCCACAAUGGAACCUUGUCCUUCAAAAACAAAAACAAAAACACCUCUAUGAAAGGAGGAUCCACCAUGAAAGCCCCCAGUUCUCUGACUCUCUGGAUGGAAGUGAUGGUCACCAUGGAAACUGUUUCCAUAGAUAGGUGAAGCAAUGAACACAUACUUACUGACUCAAAGAGGGGUUUCAUAAGUCUACUAAGAAAAAGGUUCAAAUCCCAUACAGGGGUAGGUUCUCUAAUCUGUGGGGAAAAGUUCACAGGGCCUGUGAUAAGCCUUGAAGUUAUGGGGUGAGGGGAAAAAACCCCACAAACCUUCUAUCAGUGAGUGAAAGGCUGUGAUAGUGGCCAAAUGAACCUUGACAGAACUUGUGUCAAGAUCUGAUCAUUUUAAUUUCGACAGGUGGUCAACAGCGGUGGAAAGAGAAGAGUCAACUGGAGAAACUUGUCGACGGGUAAAGUGGUGGUGAAAUCUCUUCUAUUUCUGGAGGUAAUUCUCUCCCGCAGAUGUUUUUCUGCUGUUAAAUAAUACCUGUUGUACCUCUAUUUAACAGAAGGCCGCCAUACAUGAAAACCAUCCAAGAGCUAUACGUGGAGUCGCAGAUUGGAGUGAAGUGUCUGACCGGAAUGCUAAGACAACAGAGUGCAACUGGUUGGAAGUUUCAAUGGUGGACAAGAAGCAGUUGAAGGAGUGGCAAAAAGGUCCACUUCUGGAAAUCCUCAAGUUAAAAAUAGGCUAUUGAGGACUCAUGAAUACAAAUGUCACUUGUAACUCUGGGAGAAGUGUCUGCUGAAGUCAUUGGCCAUGAUGUUCUGCAUACCCAGAAGGGGUAUAAAUCCCGAGGGAAUUGGAGAGCAGUCCUUGAGUCCUUCAAGCCAAGGUGUGAAGGGAGUCAUCCAUAGACUUUGCAAACUAUUUAUGACUGUCAAAAGGAAGGUCCUCACCUCAGUAGUACUCUGCACCUCCCUAGGGAAGCCCAACAGCUAUAAGCAAGAUGCUUGCCGCAUCAUAACUGCGUUGGAAAUACAUCAGGAUGCAGCAUCUGCUGCAUCUAAGGAAGCCUGCAAUGGUGUUCUUACUAAAAGUUGGCCCUUCUGGAUAAAGGCCUUGAAUUGCUCACAAUGUUCCUCUGGUAGAUGGUUAAUAAAGGCAUUAAAUGUA
Molecule: long non-coding RNA, 3423 nt
Organism: Chelonia mydas (Green sea turtle)
Lineage: Eukaryota; Metazoa; Chordata; Testudines; Cheloniidae
Exons: 3
Source: RefSeq, a predicted model, not a curated record